UGUGUAUGAUAUCAUGAAACGGCAAGUUGUUGAGUUGGCUCGGCAAACUUUCCGCCCAGAGUUCAUGAAUCGGAUUGAUGAAUAUAUUGUUUUCCAGCCUUUGGACUCCAAAGAAAUCAGUAAAAUCGUUGAGAUACAGAUGAGCCGAGUGAAAGAGAGACUCAAACAAAAGAAAAUCGAUCUUCAUUACACCAAGGAAGCCAUAGUACUUUUAGCGACAUUAGGAUUUGACCCGAAUUUUGGAGCUAGGCCAGUUAAGCGGGUUAUACAGCAGUUGGUUGAGAAUGAAAUUGCAAUGGGAGUCCUGAGGGGAGAGUUCAAGGAUGAGGAUUCAAUUAUCGUCGACGCUGAUGUAUCUUCGGACCUACCUCCCCAAAGCAAGUUGCGAGUAAAGAAAUUAGACAGCAGCUCCCCAUCGGAAGCCAUGGUUGCCAAUGACUAAUAAUUUUGUUGUUGUGAAUACGUUCAACAAAAGCUUUGCUUUGGCAUUUGUGUGUAUCAUAGUGCAGAGACAAUGAUGAGGCUAUGCUUUUUUUUUAAUUACAAAUUGCGUUACAC
Molecule: unclassified non-coding RNA, 558 nt
Filed under: Hevea brasiliensis (rubber tree)
Lineage: Eukaryota; Viridiplantae; Streptophyta; Magnoliopsida; Malpighiales; Euphorbiaceae
Source: RNAcentral